GAAGUGGCGAUGGCAGUUGGGAGCAGCGGACACUGCGGCGGAGAAGCAAGUAGAUGAUGAAGCGACAGAUACCAGCUCUGUGGCGAGCCAGUGGACAUCUACACAGUGCCAUUGCUGGGGAGAGUACGCAUGCCUAACCACCUCAUAGGCUACUCACUGACUCAUGGAUGGGUGUUUCGGGUCCCUGGGAAUGUCAUAUGAUGUACCAGAGGCAGAAACGUUUGAACUCUAUAAAAUGCUGU
Molecule: long non-coding RNA, 242 nt
Organism: Myotis lucifugus (little brown bat)
Lineage: Eukaryota; Metazoa; Chordata; Mammalia; Chiroptera; Vespertilionidae
Exons: 3
Source: RefSeq, a predicted model, not a curated record